GGACAUGGCGAGAGAGUUAUUAAAAUCAGUUCAGGGGUUCGCAGGAGGAUUCUGAAGAGGGCACAUUGUCCAAAAGGAGAGCUGAAGGCAGACUUGGCCACCCUGCUGCUCCAUGAGGGCGUUUGCUAUCACAACACAAGGAUCCUCUCCAAAUUCCAGGGUGAAGAAAACAUGAAUCAUGUCUUACAUUUCCAUUGAUGACAGCAGGACAGCAUGCAGGGGCUCAUUCACUCAAGAUAACAGCACCAGACCAUCAACCCAGCCACCGUGUGCCAACACGCACAUAGACACAUGCACACAGACACACCGUUGUCCUGCAGAUGAGUGGAUCCAAGCUUCUCAGGAUGGUGCAGGUCUGCUGACAGGGGAGUUACAGCCCCAUCAGGGCUGGGGGCAACAGAUGUUAAGCCCCACUGUUUCCUUGGCCCUGUGACGGUGGAGAGGAAGACAUGUUCCAAGGCAACUCUCUCAGCUUCAAGCUGAAGGAUCCCUUGCACCAGCAUUGUGAGUGAAAAUAUGCACCUAUGGGAAUUUCAAAGACCGCUAGAGG
Molecule: long non-coding RNA, 550 nt
Organism: Symphalangus syndactylus (siamang)
Lineage: Eukaryota; Metazoa; Chordata; Mammalia; Primates; Hylobatidae
Source: RefSeq, a predicted model, not a curated record